This 253-nucleotide ribosomal RNA is filed under the name uncultured bacterium. RNAcentral describes it as "partial 16S ribosomal RNA". It matches the Rfam family "Bacterial small subunit ribosomal RNA", at positions 524 to 776 of the family's 1533-position model. The record is from RNAcentral.
UACGUAGGGGGCAAGCGUUGUCCGGAUUUAUUGGGCGUAAAGAGCGCGUAGGCGGUCAGGUAGGUCGGUUGUGAAAACUGGAGGCUCAACCUUCAGAGGUCGACCGAAACCCCCUGGCUAGAGUCCGGGAGAGGAGAGUGGAAUUCCUGGUGUAGCGGUGAAAUGCGCAGAUAUCAGGAAGAACACCCGUGGCGAAAGCGGCUCUCUGGAACGGUACUGACGCUGAGACGCGAAAGCGUGGGGAGCGAACAGG